GGGGAGGACCGAGGGUCCUGCUGCGGGUCACCCCAGGCUUUGCGGGAACCGGGGCGGACGCCCUCACGGGGGACCAGGCCCGGGAGGCCAGUUACUUCCUAUGGGCCCUGCGCUUCUUGAGCUGAGUCUGGGCCCCGAGCACCAGCGGAAGCGAAGUUGUCCAGUGCACUGAUCUCUGGAAAACCCAACUCAUCCACAACGAAAUUGGCUCGGGACCAAGCCCGUACCCUCGGUGGAAAACAGGCUCGCGGUUCCGAGGCGCUUUAAGUUAGCACUGCCUGGGGCUUCAACCCCUUCUCCAGACUUGACUUCUCAGAGACGACAGCCCAAGGGCGCUUCCCGCAUCUGUUGCUGCGACUGUGGGGAAGACGGAAGAGGGACGGAGUGUUUCCCUGGACCGCAGGGACUCGUCCCGCCAGCGACCCGGAACCUUCGGGACCCGCGGGCCAAGAAAAAACCUUUCCCUUGCUUUCCUGCCGGGGCUGCAGAAGCCGGGCGAAUUCAGCAGGAGGGAGUCAUGACUAGGGAAAAAAAUAUCGAAAAAAGUCUACUUAUGGGAGCAAAAAUGGAGAAAAAAGAUUUGAGAAGCACUAGUCUAAAAGAAAAAAAUAGAAUUAAGGUAAAGCUGAUAGAAACUCCAGGUUUCCAGCUGACCCCACUGACUGCAUACGAGGAUCUCCACCCAGCCCAGGGCAAACUAAUAUUUUGGUCAACUUGCAGAGGAGCUCUGGAACAGGAACACACACAUAC
This is a long non-coding RNA of Myotis daubentonii (Daubenton's bat), 750 nucleotides long. RefSeq lists it as uncharacterized. The record is from RefSeq and is a predicted model, not a curated record. NCBI's taxonomy places the organism in Eukaryota, Metazoa, Chordata, Mammalia, Chiroptera, Vespertilionidae.